RNAcentral lists this ribosomal RNA (2923 nucleotides) under Klebsiella aerogenes. RNAcentral's name for it is "bacterial LSU rRNA". It matches the Rfam family "Bacterial large subunit ribosomal RNA". The record is from RNAcentral. Lineage: Bacteria; Pseudomonadati; Pseudomonadota; Gammaproteobacteria; Enterobacterales; Enterobacteriaceae.
GGGUUGUGAGGUUAAGCGACUAAGCGUACACGGUGGAUGCCCUGGCAGUCAGAGGCGAUGAAGGACGUGCUAAUCUGCGAAAAGCGUCGGUAAGGUGAUAUGAACCGUUACAGCCGGCGAUGUCCGAAUGGGGAAACCCAGUGUGAUUCGUCACACUAUCGUUAACUGAAUACAUAGGUUAACGAGGCGAACCGGGGGAACUGAAACAUCUAAGUACCCCGAGGAAAAGAAAUCAACCGAGAUUCCCCCAGUAGCGGCGAGCGAACGGGGAGCAGCCCAGAGUCUGAAUCAGCUUGUGUGUUAGUGGAACGGUCUGGAAAGUCCGACGGUACAGGGUGAUAGUCCCGUACACCAAAAUGCACAGGCUGUGAACUCGAAGAGUAGGGCGGGACACGUGGUAUCCUGUCUGAAUAUGGGGGACCAUCCUCCAAGGCUAAAUACUCCUGACUGACCGAUAGUGAACCAGUACCGUGAGGGAAAGGCGAAAAGAACCCCGGCGAGGGGAGUGAAAAAGAACCUGAAACCGUGUACGUACAAGCAGUGGGAGCACCUUCGGGUGUGACUGCGUACCUUUUGUAUAAUGGGUCAGCGACUUAUAUUCUGUAGCAAGGUUAACCGUAUAGGGGAGCCGCAGGGAAACCGAGUCUUAACUGGGCGUUAAGUUGCAGGGUAUAGACCCGAAACCCGGUGAUCUAGCCAUGGGCAGGUUGAAGGUUGGGUAACACUAACUGGAGGACCGAACCGACUAAUGUUGAAAAAUUAGCGGAUGACUUGUGGCUGGGGGUGAAAGGCCAAUCAAACCGGGAGAUAGCUGGUUCUCCCCGAAAGCUAUUUAGGUAGCGCCUCGUGAAUUCAUCUUCGGGGGUAGAGCACUGUUUCGGCUAGGGGUCAUCCCGACUUACCAACCCGAUGCAAACUACGAAUACCGAAGAAUGUUAUCACGGGAGACACACGGCGGGUGCUAACGUCCGUCGUGAAGAGGGAAACAACCCAGACCGCCAGCUAAGGUCCCAAAGUCACAGUUAAGUGGGAAACGAUGUGGGAAGGCACAGACAGCCAGGAUGUUGGCUUAGAAGCAGCCAUCAUUUAAAGAAAGCGUAAUAGCUCACUGGUCGAGUCGGCCUGCGCGGAAGAUGUAACGGGGCUAAACUGUGCACCGAAGCUGCGGCAGCGACACUAUGUGUUGUUGGGUAGGGGAGCGUUCUGUAAGCCUGCGAAGGUGGCCUGUGAGGGUUGCUGGAGGUAUCAGAAGUGCGAAUGCUGACAUAAGUAACGAUAAUGCGGGUGAAAAGCCCGCACGCCGGAAGACCAAGGGUUCCUGUCCAACGUUAAUCGGGGCAGGGUGAGUCGACCCCUAAGGCGAGGCCGAAAGGCGUAGUCGAUGGGAAACAGGUUAAUAUUCCUGUACUUGGUGUUACUGCGAAGGGGGGACGGAGAAGGCUAUGUUAGCCGGGCGACGGUUGUCCCGGUUUAAGCAUGUAGGCGGAGGUUCCAGGUAAAUCCGGUACCUUUUUAACGCUGAGGUGUGAUGACGAGGCACUACGGUGCUGAAGUAACAAAUGCCCUGCUUCCAGGAAAAGCCUCUAAGCAUCAGGUAACAUUAAAUCGUACCCCAAACCGACACAGGUGGUCAGGUAGAGAAUACCAAGGCGCUUGAGAGAACUCGGGUGAAGGAACUAGGCAAAAUGGUGCCGUAACUUCGGGAGAAGGCACGCUGAUAUGUAGGUGAAGCCCCUGCGGGUGGAGCUGAAAUCAGUCGAAGAUACCAGCUGGCUGCAACUGUUUAUUAAAAACACAGCACUGUGCAAACACGAAAGUGGACGUAUACGGUGUGACGCCUGCCCGGUGCCGGAAGGUUAAUUGAUGGGGUUAUCCGUAAGGAGAAGCUCUUGAUCGAAGCCCCGGUAAACGGCGGCCGUAACUAUAACGGUCCUAAGGUAGCGAAAUUCCUUGUCGGGUAAGUUCCGACCUGCACGAAUGGCGUAAUGAUGGCCAGGCUGUCUCCACCCGAGACUCAGUGAAAUUGAACUCGCUGUGAAGAUGCAGUGUACCCGCGGCAAGACGGAAAGACCCCGUGAACCUUUACUAUAGCUUGACACUGAACAUUGAGCCUUGAUGUGUAGGAUAGGUGGGAGGCUUUGAAGCGUGGACGCCAGUCUGCGUGGAGCCAACCUUGAAAUACCACCCUUUAAUGUUUGAUGUUCUAACGUUGGCCCCUUAUCGGGGUUGCGGACAGUGUCUGGUGGGUAGUUUGACUGGGGCGGUCUCCUCCCAAAGAGUAACGGAGGAGCACGAAGGUUAGCUAAUCCUGGUCGGACAUCAGGAGGUUAGUGCAAUGGCAUAAGCUAGCUUGACUGCGAGCGUGACGGCGCGAGCAGGUGCGAAAGCAGGUCAUAGUGAUCCGGUGGUUCUGAAUGGAAGGGCCAUCGCUCAACGGAUAAAAGGUACUCCGGGGAUAACAGGCUGAUACCGCCCAAGAGUUCAUAUCGACGGCGGUGUUUGGCACCUCGAUGUCGGCUCAUCACAUCCUGGGCUGAAGUAGGUCCCAAGGGUAUGGCUGUUCGCCAUUUAAAGUGGUACGCGAGCUGGGUUUAGAACGUCGUGAGACAGUUCGGUCCCUAUCUGCCGUGGGCGCUGGAGAAUUGAGGGGGGCUGCUCCUAGUACGAGAGGACCGGAGUGGACGCAUCACUGGUGUUCGGGUUGUCAUGCCAAUGGCAUUGCCCGGUAGCUAAAUGCGGAAGAGAUAAGUGCUGAAAGCAUCUAAGCACGAAACUUGCCCCGAGAUGAGUUCUCCCUGAGACUUUAAGUCUCCUGAAGGAACGUUAAAGACGAUGACGUUGAUAGGUCGGGUGUGUAAGCGUAGCGAUACGUUGAGCUAACCGAUACUAAUGAACCGUGAGGCUUAACCUUACAACGCCGAAG